AAGGAACCUCAGAGAGUGUUGCAUUUAAAUUGCACAUUGAACUUUGACAUUUUUCUGCUGCAGCGAUAGGAGUGCACCUGCAAUGGCGGCGCCACUGCCACUGAUGGGAGUUAGGAUAAGGCACACACACACACACACGGCAAAUGGAAGGACCUGCCUGCCUGCCUGGCUCCUGGAAGCCCAAUUUAUUGGCCAAAUAUGCAGUUUUUAUAGAUCUGACCUUGUAAGUAUUUCCCUUUCCGAAAGAGAUAGCCCUUCUUUGAUUGCACAACGGAAAUUAUAUCGCGUAGCUGAGCCGUUCCAGGGUGGGUUAUCAUCAGCACAGCGGAGAGGUGGGCUCUGUCUCUCUCUCUCUCUCUCUCUCUCUUACAGAGUAGCUUAGCCGUCCCAGGGUGGGCUAUCAUCAGCGCUGCAGAUAGAAGUGGACUCUCUCUGUGUCUCUCUCUCCCAGUGAAACUCUGUUGGGGUAUGAUU
Molecule: long non-coding RNA, 474 nt
Organism: Drosophila pseudoobscura
Lineage: Eukaryota; Metazoa; Arthropoda; Insecta; Diptera; Drosophilidae
Exons: 3
Source: RefSeq, a predicted model, not a curated record